Molecule: long non-coding RNA, 671 nt
Filed under: Solanum tuberosum (potato)
Lineage: Eukaryota; Viridiplantae; Streptophyta; Magnoliopsida; Solanales; Solanaceae
Description: long non-coding RNA (STUB_LNC008513)
Source: RNAcentral
UGUUAGGAUCGAAAUAAGCAGGUGUAAUGCGGAAGCUAGCAAAGCAAACCUCAAAAGACCAUGAGUAAGAAGACAAACGAGAAAUAUACCAAAAGAGACAGAUUUAACGUGGUUCGGUCAAUCGACCUACGUCCACAAAGGAGAUGAGCAAUCCAUUAUAAAUAUGAGAGUACAAAAUAUGGAGAGAAACAACCUCAAACAAUUCACUCUGAAUACAAGGAGGUACACAAAACUCUCCCCCAUAACCGCAACUCUCAAAACCCUAGGACUACAUUGUGAAUGCUAAUUAAGUUAGAAGGAACAAGCCUAUAUUUAUAGAGUCCUAAANCAAACGAGAAACACACCAAAAGAGACAGAUUUAACGUGGUUCGGUCAAUCGACCUACGUCCACAAAGGAGAUGAGCAAUCCACUAUAAAUAUGAGAGUACAAAAUAUGGAGAGAAACAACCUCAAACAAUUCACUCUGAAUACAAGGAGGUACACAAAACUCUCCCCCAUAACCGCAACUCUCAAAACCCUAGGACUACAUUGUGAAUGUUAAUUAAGUUAGAAGGAACAAGCCUAUAUUUAUAGAGUCCUAAAACCUUUCCUACAAGAAAAGGACUAGUCAAAAUAUUAAAACCUUUUCCUAAAAGGAAAACUUAUUUAUGGUAAGAAAUCAGGGCAAAUAA